AGUCCCUAACGAUCGCGAACACCUGUAUGAGGUCUUUCGCAGGCGGAAGGCUUCAUUUGGUGACCCCGACGUGAUCAUUAGGGAAU
Non-coding RNA from Colinus virginianus (northern bobwhite), 86 nucleotides. NCBI's taxonomy places the organism in Eukaryota, Metazoa, Chordata, Aves, Galliformes, Odontophoridae. The record is from Rfam.